UUUUGAAUUGCAGAUACGUUUAACUGAUGCUUAACAAAAAAGAAAAAGGUAGGAAAGGAAAGAGAUAUCUCUAUAGGUGGGUAAACAGAUCAAGAGAUAGAAAAACAGAGAGAGAGAGAGAGAGAGAGAGAGAGAGAGAGAGAGAGAGAGAGAGAUUACGCGAGAUAAGAAAUUGGAAGGAGAAACAGCGAUUUUUUUCGAAAGAAGGAAUGGAAAGAGAGAGAAAGAGUGUUUAAAAGAGAAGAUAUGAGAAAUAUUAG
Monomorium pharaonis (pharaoh ant) is the source of this 260-nucleotide long non-coding RNA. RefSeq lists it as uncharacterized. Lineage: Eukaryota; Metazoa; Arthropoda; Insecta; Hymenoptera; Formicidae. The record is from RefSeq and is a predicted model, not a curated record. The transcript has 2 exons.